RNAcentral lists this ribosomal RNA (494 nucleotides) under uncultured bacterium. RNAcentral describes it as "partial 16S ribosomal RNA". It matches the Rfam family "Bacterial small subunit ribosomal RNA", at positions 28 to 507 of the family's 1533-position model. The record is from RNAcentral.
GACGAACGCUGGCGGCGUGCUUAACACAUGCAAGUCGAACGGAAAGGCCUGCUUUCCCUUGUGGAUUGCGGGUACUCGAGUGGCGAACGGGUGAGUAACACGUGAGUGAUCUGCCCCCAACUUGGGUAUAAGCCUGGGAAACUGGGUCUAAUUCUCGAUCGGACUGCAGGGUGGUGCCUGUGGUCGAACACGAUUUUCUAGUGGUUGGGGAUGAGCUCGCGGCCUAUCAGCUUGUUGGUGGGGUAAUGGCCUACCAAGGCGGCGACGGGUAGCCGGCCUGUGAUGGGGGACGGCCGAAUUGAGACUGGGAUACGGCCCAGACGCGUACGGGAGGCAGCAGUGGGGGGUAAUGCGCAGUGAGCGGGAGCCAGAUGCAGCGACGCCGCGUGGGAGAUGACGGCCUUGGAGUGGUAAACUCCUUUCGACCGCGAGGAAGCCACCUAGAUGGAAGGGUGGUGACGGUAGUGGUAGAAGAAGCACCGGCUAACUACGUG